This 65-nucleotide transfer RNA is filed under the name Scipinia horrida. RNAcentral's name for it is "tRNA-Ile". Lineage: Eukaryota; Metazoa; Arthropoda; Insecta; Hemiptera; Reduviidae. The record is from RNAcentral.
AGUAAGGUGCCUGAAUAAAAGGAUUAUUUUGAUAGAAUAAAACAUGUAUUUUAAUACCCUUAUUA